Molecule: ribosomal RNA, 253 nt
Filed under: uncultured bacterium
Lineage: Bacteria
Description: partial 16S ribosomal RNA
Rfam family: Bacterial small subunit ribosomal RNA
Source: RNAcentral
UACGUAGGGGGCAAGCGUUGUCCGGAGUUACUGGGCGUAAAGCGCACGCAGGCGGUCUGGUAAGUUUGGCGUGACAGUCAUCGGCUUAACUGAUGAAGUGCUUCGAAAACUGCCCGACUUGAGGGCUUCAGAGGGACACGGAAUUCCGGGUGGAGUGGUGAAAUGCGUAGAUAUCCGGAGGAACACCAAUUGCGAAGGCAGCUCGCUGGGACGUGACUGACGCUGAGACGCGAAAGCGUGGGGAGCAAACAGG